AAAGUCGUAACAAGGUUUCCGUAGGUGAACCUGCGGAAGGAUCAUUAAAAUACCGAUAAAAACCACUGCUUUUGGCACUAAACACACAAACCUAUAUUUUUUUUAAUAUCUUCUAAGCUUCACUUUUUGUGACUUUUAAAUAAAAAAAAAAAACAAAACUUUCAACAACGGAUCUCUUGGUUCUC
RNAcentral lists this unclassified non-coding RNA (185 nucleotides) under Ascomycota sp. Its description in RNAcentral is "partial contains small subunit ribosomal RNA, internal transcribed spacer 1, and 5.8S ribosomal RNA". The stretch from base 1 to 47 matches the Rfam family "Eukaryotic small subunit ribosomal RNA", at positions 1785 to 1831 of the family's 1831-position model. Lineage: Eukaryota; Fungi; Ascomycota. The record is from RNAcentral.